This 1544-nucleotide long non-coding RNA is filed under the name Neodiprion lecontei (redheaded pine sawfly). RNAcentral describes it as "uncharacterized LOC124295187". Lineage: Eukaryota; Metazoa; Arthropoda; Insecta; Hymenoptera; Diprionidae. The record is from RNAcentral.
CGACCACCUUUGUCCUCCUCGUCCUCUAGGGCCCUCUGCGCCUCCUUCGCCGCCGCCCCCUUGUCGUCGUCGUCGUCGUCCUCGACCACCUCCGAUCACCGCUAGCCACCGCCAAACACCUCCUACCAUCUCCGUCCGACUCCUAGCACCCGCUGCCGCCGCUGGCCAACUCCUACCACCGCCGACCACCUCUUGCAAUCUCCUGCCAUUUCCGAACACCUCCUACCUCCCCCUGCCUCCUCCGACCGUCGCCGAUCGCCUUCUACCGCCCCCUACCACCUCCUGCCAUUUUCGAACACCUCCAACCACCUCCGACCACCGCCGACCUCCUUCGUCCUCUUCAUCCACCUCCUCCACACCCCGUCGUCGUCCACGUUGUCCUCGUCCUCCUCGACCUACUCCGAUCACCGCCAACCACCUCCAAACACCUCCUACAUUGACUGAAGCAUAUAAAGACAGUUGCCCUGAUGAGCUUUGGUGUGACAACCGAAAAUCGUCGUGCGCUUUCGCUCCCUGAGAUGUUCCAACUGUAGAGUUGAGAACUUAUUGCAGAACAUCAGAGGGUUACCGAUUUCGACAUGAUGCUGGCUGCAUUCACCUUCGGAGUCACACAGUCUUCGCAAUGAAAGUGACGUCACCAAAAUCCGUCAGUGACGUCGACCGCCAAAAUUCCUCAGUCUGGAAACAACCGCGCAGUAGAGCGGACGGAUGAGAGUCGCGCUCCGCAAAUUUCGAGUACCGGGUUCUCAACCUCCCGGAUCCUGCGCUUCGGAUCCGCUACGUGGUGAAACUCGAGUUCCAGGACAAGUGCUCCGUAGUUUCUGCGCUCCGGGUCCACUACCUAGUGAAACUGGACUUCCAGAACAGGCACUCCGUGGUUUCUGCUCUCAAGGACAAGCGCUCCAUGGUUUCUGAGCUCAAGGUCGCUGGUGAAACUUGACUUCCAGGACAAGCGCACCGUGGUUCCUGCGCUCAAGGUCCACUACCAGUGGGAACUUGACUUCCGGGACAAGCGCUCCGGGGUUCCUGUUUCAUGUUUACGGUAUAACCCAAGGUAGUUAUCGGUAGGUGUUGGAGGUGGUUGGCGGUGGUUGGAGGUGGUCAGAGGUGGACGAAGAAGACGAGGAGAACUAGGUGGACGAGGAGGACGAGGAUUAGUGCUCGGUAUACCCGUGGUGGUUAUCGGUGGUUGUUGGAGGUGAUUGGCGGUGAUUGCAGGUGUUCGGAGUUGGACGAGGAGGAGGACGAGGAAGACGAGGAGAACAAGGUGGACGAGGAGGACGAGGAUUAGUGCUCGGUAUACCCGUGGUGGUUAUCGGUGGUUGUUGGAGGUGAUUGGCGGUGAUUGCAGGUGUUCGGAGUUGGACGAGGAGGAGGACGAGGAAGACGAGGAGAACAAGGUGGACGAGGAGGACGAGGAUUAGUGCUCGGUAUAACCCGAGGUAGUUCGCGGUGGUUCCGGGUGAUCGAGGUGAGCGAGGAAGAGGACGAGGAUGACCAGGACUUGUACACUUUCUGUGCCCCACCUAGUGAUCCACCAGUAC